AGGCUCCUAUCCAGGGGGGUCCCUGACAGAGCUGCGGCCCCACGCCGGGGACAGCGAGGAGGAGGGUGGUCCGCGUCCAGCGCCGGGUGUCCCUGUCCCGCCCGGAGGUGACCCAGCAGACGGCUAUGACGAUGCCGGGGAGGUUUCCGACCCUGGGGAGGAUCGUGCCCCUGGGCAGGGAGACUGGGAACUGCCCAGGGCGCCAGAGGAGGGAGCGGGGCCCGGGGAUGCACCUGGAGAGAGCACGGGCUAUGACGAUGCUGAAGAGGUGCCUCUGGCACAUCCCCCCGAGGACACGAAGGCCGCGUCCCCGGAGCUCGGCGCAGAGCAGUCCCUGAGCCCCGGGGCAGGAGAGCCCGUCCCUGCCGUCGAGCUGGGUGCAGCCUGGAGGGAGGAGAGGACUGUGCAGCUGGCAGAGCCGUGAGCACCGGGGAGCCCUCUCCCUUUUCCCACAGGCA
Non-coding RNA from Phalacrocorax carbo (great cormorant), 458 nucleotides. NCBI's taxonomy places the organism in Eukaryota, Metazoa, Chordata, Aves, Suliformes, Phalacrocoracidae. The record is from RefSeq and is a predicted model, not a curated record.